Molecule: ribosomal RNA, 270 nt
Filed under: uncultured soil bacterium
Lineage: Bacteria
Description: partial 16S ribosomal RNA
Rfam family: Bacterial small subunit ribosomal RNA
Source: RNAcentral
AGAAUCAACGCUGGCGGCGUGCCUCAGACAUGCAAGUCGAACGCGAAAGUUCCCUUCGGGGGCGAGUAGAGUGGCGCACGGGUGAGUAACACGUAGGUAAUCUACCUUCGGAUGGGGAAUAACAACCGGAAACGGUUGCUAAUACCGCAUAAUGCAGCGGCACCUAAUGGUGACAGUUGUUAAAGCGGGGGAUCGAAAGACCUCGCGUCUGAAGAGGAGCCUGCGGCGGAUUAGCUAGGUUGGUAAGGUAAUGGCUUACCAAGGCUACGA